This 487-nucleotide ribosomal RNA is filed under the name Mus setulosus (Peter's mouse). Its description in RNAcentral is "partial 16S ribosomal RNA". It matches the Rfam family "Bacterial large subunit ribosomal RNA", at positions 1850 to 2559 of the family's 2925-position model. The record is from RNAcentral. Lineage: Eukaryota; Metazoa; Chordata; Mammalia; Rodentia; Muridae.
AGGCAUUGCCUGCCCAGUGACUAAAGUUAAACGGCCGCGGUAUCCUGACCGUGCAAAGGUAGCAUAAUCACUUGUUCCUUAAUUAGGGACUAGCAUGAAUGGCUAAACGAAGGUUUAACUGUCUCUUAUUUUUAAUCAGUGAAAUUGACCUUUCAGUGAAGAGGCUGAAAUUUAGUAAUAAGACGAGAAGACCCUAUGGAGCUUAAAUUAAAUAGUUUAACUGUUCAACUAAACAAACCUAAGGACCUAACAACUACAGUAUAAACUAAAAAUUUCGGUUGGGGUGACCUCGGAGAACAAAAAAUCCUCCGAAUGAUUAUAACUUAGACCCACAAGUCAAAGUAAAUAAUAUCUUAUUGACCCAAAAAUAUUUUGAUCAACGGACCAAGUUACCCUAGGGAUAACAGCGCAAUCCUAUUUAAGAGUUCAUAUCGACAAUUAGGGUUUACGACCUCGAUGUUGGAUCAGGACAUCCCAAUGGUGCAGA